UCAGGAUGAACGCUGGCGGCGUGCCUAAUACAUGCAAGUGAAACGGGUAUCUUCGGAUACCAGUCGCGGACGGGUGAGUAAUACAUAGGCAACCUGCCUUUAUGAGGGGGAUAACCGAGGGAAACUUUGGCUAAUACCGCAUGAAGACUCUAAGGCAUCUUAGAGGGAUAAAAGUUGGGAAACAACGCAUGAAGAUGGGCUUAGUGGCGCAUUAGCUAGUUGGUGAGAUAGAAGCCCACCAAGGUAAUGAUGCGUAGCCGACCUGAGAGGGUGAACGGCCACAUUGGGACUGAGACACGGCCCAAACUCCUACGGGAGGCAGCAGUAGGGAAUUUUCGGCAAUGGGGGGAACCCUGACCGAGCAACGCCGCGUGAAAAGGAAGAAGGUUUUCGGAUUGUAAACUUCUGUUAUAAGGGAAGAACGGAUUGGAUAGGGAAUGAUCUGAUAGUGACGGUACCUUAUUAGAAAGCCACGGCUAACUACGUGCCAGCAGCGGC
This 498-nucleotide ribosomal RNA is filed under the name uncultured bacterium. RNAcentral's name for it is "bacterial SSU rRNA". It matches the Rfam family "Bacterial small subunit ribosomal RNA", at positions 24 to 518 of the family's 1533-position model. The record is from RNAcentral.